Molecule: transfer RNA, 72 nt
Filed under: Sphaerodactylus townsendi
Lineage: Eukaryota; Metazoa; Chordata; Lepidosauria; Squamata; Sphaerodactylidae
Description: tRNA-Ala
Rfam family: tRNA
About the family: Transfer RNA (tRNA) molecules are approximately 80 nucleotides in length. Their secondary structure includes four short double-helical elements and three loops (D, anti-codon, and T loops).
Source: RNAcentral
GGGGCUGUAGCUCAGUGGGAGAACAUGUGCUUUGCUUGCAGAAGGUUCCAAGUUUAAUUCUUGGCAUCUCCA